GACGCAGGGUUGCCACAGACCUUCAAUUUUUAAAAACAGCAAUAUCUGCGAAGCGCAAUAAAACGAGUACCCAGAGUGGUUUACAUUUAAAGAUGUAUGAAGAAGACAGACCGGCAAGGUAAUUAGGAACAGGGACAACUUCAUCUUUUUAUUACACAAAUAUGGCUUGCAGCCCAUGGGACAUGAGAUAACUUACGAGCCAGUAGUAGAUGAGGUGCUUCUCUAUGCCUCCAGCAAGAUAUGUGUACUUCACCACAUAGCAGUCCCCGGCAAAGAACACACCCUUUAGAUUGUCAGGCACAGGGACCAGCUCGAAAUUCUCAACACGCCACACGGUGCGCUCUCCUGUACCAUCAUCUACAAGCUGUGAUUCAGCAGCAAACUUUGGUUUGUCAUGCAAGGUGGCUGCAUCAAACUUGUUGUUGAUAGUGGUGGCAAUCUUACCAACUGAAACAUUGUCAUCAAACUUUGUAGUGGAUGUGAACAGCACUUUGAACUCAAUGGGCUCACCUCCAUCCACCACUCUUGUGACUAAUGUGUUGCUUGGAUAGCCCUUCUUGGUCACAUAACCCUGAGCAUUACGCAUUGCUUCAACCCGUUCCUUAGAUGAUGCUUUGCGACCUACCCACACCCAUAUGCCUUCAGGACCAUUGUCAAUAAUGAAGGAAUCCUGGCAAGAGAAGAAAGGGGGCCAGAUUUGACCUCUGUGACCUUGUAGGUGCCAUCCUCAUCACUGCAAUGGUACAGAGUAAGCGUUGCUCGUUUGACUUCCUCCUGAACAUCAUCAGCGCCAGCUUCUUCUGCAGACUUGACUGUGUGAUUACUCAGGCCCAGAAUGUUUGGCCUACUUAGUUGAUUAGCAGUAGACCUAUAAUGUUUUUGGUGCAUUUCUAAGAGCCUGUACCUCAUGCCUGCCUUGAAGUACCCCUUGAACCGAGCCGACUCAUUGCCCUGUGACUCACGGUGUUGAAUGGGAGAACCCCCCAGGUAGUCGUCUAGCUCCACUGUUUUGUAUGCUGCUAUGCCUGCCUCAUCAGUGGUCGCUUCCUUACCCAGCCAGAAGUGGAUGUGGACUUCAGGUGUUCCAUGUAUCUGGACAGGCUAUACCAGAAUACAGACAUUUGGUAAGGAAACCUCUUCAACAAUUUGUCCUCUAACCUCUGCCUCGAAGACGGCUCUGGGAGUCACCAACCCCCGAUCUAAUGGAUACCGGGGUCGUCUGCCGAGUGUAAACUUUGACGGGGCGUGCCGCUAACCACUCACCCCCAUCUACUGCCAAGGUUGACAUCGAGUAGGAGCUACAUCUCCUCUUCCCCAAAAACUACAUUGGACUUUGCAUAGCGUUCGUAACGCUACACCCCAGAACCGUCAUAGUCUUACGUUGGUAACGCCGUCAGAUAUGAAAUGGCGGCGUAUGCUGAGUCGGAAAAGGAGGGAAGCAGCUGUUUUUCAAGAAGAAUUGAUAAUGGUGGCAAGACUAAAGUAAUUACACUCAAGAGUCUAUUGUAAGGAUAAUAUUAUAUUGUACUGUCUUAAUCACAAAUGAUGUGAGGUAUGAUGCAUCUGUCUGUUUUAUUAGCAAAAUUUCUGAACAGUAUGGAAAAAUGCUGCACACACAACACAGUAAACCGCCUUCACUCCUAAUAAGAUAGAUGCAUCAUUGUACAAUGACUAACCACAACUCAGAUCAAAAACACAAUGGACUUGAAAAUUGCUGUCUUCUGGGUUAUAGAUGCAUGUAGUCUGGUGGAAGAUUACCAAUGUUUCAGAGGUCCUUGCUCCCUGCAUGAUCAGUAUUCAUCAUCACUGCACUAAGUAAGUGGAAACGUUUUAACUUAAUAUUCUAUCAUUAUUUUUUGACAUCAGAAGGAGACAAUAUGAUCACCAGUGCAAUGACAUAUUUAUUUAUAGUUUAUUCAGUGAUGCAGUUUCUGUAGCUCAUACUAUGUAACAUUGAAUGAGAGGAUGACAAUGAAUAAUGAAUUGUAAAUGAAGGAAACAUUGACCUGGAAUUAAGAAAAAUUUUUCUGAAGUUAUAUAUUUGGAGCACACAUUUUGAGAUACCUAGGAUUGGUUAAUUUGGUAAUGGAAGGAACAAUUGAAGAGGUCACAAAGAUUGGAAUAUGUGACGCAGAUUUUUGAGGAUUUAGGCUGUAAAAAAUAUGUGGAAAUGAAGAGACUGACGCAAGAUAGACGAAAAUUGAGGACCGCAUCAAAGCAGUCAGAAGACUGAUGCCAAAGAGAGAGAAGUGAAGGAAGCGGUCAUGGCAUAAUUUAAGUUACUAUCACAGCAUUUACCUGGAAGGACUGAGGAAAACUGCAAACACUUCUGUCAGGAUAGCCAGUCUAACCACUCAACCAUGACAUUUGGUAGCAAUGACAUAAAAGCAGGGAUUUGAAUGUAAUGGUGGCCACAGACUGAAACAUGUUCUAGUGAAUGGACAAUGAGCUGAGUGUGCAAGUGACAAGCAAGAAAAACCAAGAAUUAGCGUAGAGGGUUAUGUAAGUUCCAACAGUUUUUUUUACCACAGAGCUUAUGUUACCUGAAAACAAAGACUGUCUGAAUGAGAUGUUGCACCCAUUUGUUUUAUGGAAUAAAUAUUGGACAAUUUUGCAAACAAACUGUAAAAUGGGUUUGUAUGCUGAGUGACAAUACAGUAUCAUGCACUUCUCUUGUAAGCAGCUGUUAGAUGGUUCGAUAGUUCAUAUUCAUUGUGUUCAAAACUGUUUGCGGUUACACACAGUGUUAUUCCCAACCCACGUGAGAAUGAAAGUCGGUAAAAUCAGUGGCAGUGACCCAGACUAUGAGCAGAGGCGUGUUUCUGACUUUUCUGACUUUACUGAUUCAGGUGGUAUUGUUAGUUUAAAAGAGUUACAAGUAUCUUCUACUGAUGAUAACAGUUUGGAAGGAAUUGUGAUACUCCUCUUGCUACAGUAAGCAAGCAUACACUCUGUUCAAACAGAUGACAAUUUUCAAGCCAGAAAACUAAUCCAUUAUUCAUGUAAAAAUUUAAAUGAGUGCUUAUCAGAAUUAGAGACAUUCCUCAGAGUGUUUCCCAGUAGUUUAUGUUCAUAUCACAGUGCGCUAAUGAAUGGUUGGACGUCAUGGAGGAGUCUACUAGAAAGAAGAAAUUAUAUGAACAGAUCCUUGGAAAAUAAAACGGAUUGUUCGCUGAUCAUGUGCCACACCAUGUCCCCGAACAUUCACUCUACUGGUCAAAGAAUGGGGAACAUAACAAUGAAACAGUGUCACGAGAUAUAUUUUCUCCAAAUUUUACUUCAAGGACCCAAAACAGCUGCAAUUUAUCAGCAGAAUCUGUUAAAUUGAAUAAGUAACCUCAGUUGUUUGGAGAGUAUGUACCAGACAAGUGGAUUAGGUAGGUGAGGGAUGAAAAUGUGGGAAAGGUGUGAUUCAGUUACUGGAUGCACAUAUGAUAUGAGCGUGUACUCUGGAGAGCAAACAACAGUUAUUGAAGGUACUGUCGGAGAACGAGUUGUAAUCAAAGUACUUUAAACUGUAUCUGAACCAGAUGUUCCACUUUGCUUUGGCAGAUUUUAAAACAACCAGUGUGCUUGACACAUAUCCUUAUGCAGCUGUUAGAAUCUGCAUGAGAACAAGGACAAAUGUUUCAGAGUUUCCUGAAAUUUAUAAAAGAGAACACUUUAUGUUCUUAGUAAAUGAAUCAGGUACAGUGGCCAUGAAAUGGUAAGGUACUAAGGAAGUAAUUGUUAUAAGUAACUGCCACACAAGUGAUUUAGAAAUAGCAAAGUGCAAGUUGAGGGAUGGCAGCAAAAUACCUUGUCCAAAGGCAGUUUUGUUUAACAGUGACUGUAUGGGAGGUUUGGAUGUAGGUGAUCACAUGACAGAAAAUUUGCUAAAUGUUGGAAGAAAGUAUUUUACAGAUUUCUCAUGCCAUCAGUUGUAAAUGCAUGAAUGGGUUCUGUCUGCAGAGAUAAGAUGAGAAGGGAGGCUACUACUUUAGUUUCUUGUUGUUGUGACUUAGAGCUUUGUAGAUUGUGGAAGAAAUGGAAUGCCACUAAAAUGGCAUGAAUCCACUGGUUAGUCUUCAGAGGGCUCUGCAACAAUAUGCAAAGUUUGUGACCAUCUCCCUGUAUAAGGUAACACAGGGAGAUGCUUUGACUGCUCUCAGUAUAAGGAAGCACGCACAUUAAUCUAGGCGAAGUUGAAAAGGUGAUAACUACACAUUUUAAAUUAGUCACUGGUGUAUGUUUUUGUAUAAAAAUUAAUUUAAAUGAACAGUUUAGUUCUUGCAGUUGGUAUAGUUUAAUUUUCAGGAUUUAAUAUUGUUCUGCUGUUGUUUGUCUUAAUGAGUCAACAGGAUAAUUAAUUCUCUACUGUAAAGUAAGAUGUCACAAUUAAAAUUUAGGCCUUUUUUAUUUCUUGUUAUAAAACCAUUAGAAUGAGAUUUAUUGGUAGUUCAUUUAUUGAAAUCACCAUUUUAAGAUGCAAUAAAGUAGUCUCACAUAUCUUUGGAAUAACAGAACAGAAUGACUGAAUGUAGUGGUUAUCCUUUGAGUUCAGAAUAAAUUAUAAUUUUUCAAAUUCAAACAUAGGACAUUUAUGUUUGUUUUAUGAGGUGUGACAAUUAAGUUCCUGAAGUGCCCUGUAAAAACUGUGUUUAAUUACUCGCAAACUAAUGGUCGCUGUCACUUCUGAAGUAGUCUUCCUGCAUAUCAUUACACUUUGUGAACCGGUUUAUCCACUGCUCAAAGCAUAUCUGGAACUCUUUUCGAAUGCGUUUUAGGAUGGUCAUUGCAUGUCCCUGAAAAUCUGUGGCUCUUCAAAGGAGUCUUCAGUUUUGGGAGUAACCAAAUGUGGUGAAUAUGGUGGAUGGUCCAGUUUCAGUAUCAAUUUUUGGCCACAAACUCCUGGACAGCAAGUGUAUCAUGAGCAGGUGCAUUGUCAUGAUGUAUAACCUCAUCAAUAUUACAAAAUAACAGUGCUGGAUUACUGCUUGGCCUUGUUGAGCAAACUCAUAGUGAGCAGUGCUGUUAUGAUCAAUACAGAAGAGGAAAACAAACAAGCAUUGUCUUCAUAUGACCCUCCUUAAAACUUUGUCACUCACAGACACUCAACAUUUUCAUUCAGUGUGACAUUUAUGCAGUCAUUGCACGAACAUAACUGUCAUUCCUCAGAAGGAAAGCCUUGUCCUGAACUGCUUGAGACACAUCAUUCACACACACACUUUUAAUGAUAAUGUAUAGUAAUUAAUGUAGUCUACUCUGUAAUACAUGGAGGAUAGCCAAAAAGCCCUUAUAUUGUGGAUUCAAAGAACCUAAAAUAUAAAUGAAAAAUUUGAAAUACUUUGAAACAACAUUCACACUUAAUGUGCGGUGCAAGCGUUGUUAUUACUGAGAACUGUGAUGUGUAUGAACAACUGUUUGUCCAUACAAAUUAAGAAUUUUCAUAAGUGAUAAACCAGAUUUUAUGAAAUCUGAUUUUGGAGAAUUUCAUGAACAAUAGUCAAGUCGUUCCAGUUUUUAUUGAUAUUGGACAGUUUUAAUGACCACUGCAUACAGAAGCAUAAGAAUUUCUUCAUGUAAUCUAAUCACAUUAGAUAAAAUAGAAAUAAAUGCUCCAGUUGUUCCAGUAGGAAGUCAUAAUAUUCUCAUAUGAAAUUGAAAUUAUGGUUUUGUGUGUUAAGUUCGUUAAUGGGUAGGACCCCCCAUAUAUACCUGGCCUGUAAGCAAGGCAGCUUUAUGUUUACUUUACUUACCAGUUAACCUGAUUUAAAUUGUUUAUAAUUUUCCUCAAUUUCUGUAUUCAAACAUGCUAGUAGUACCUUUAUCGAUGCUGUGGCAACUUCGUACGUGAUACUCUAUCCAUCUCAUUCUACAUAUAACCUCAGCAUCAUAAAAUAAUCUUAUCACUCAAUAAGUUAAUCUCCAUUAGUUUUGCUGGAAGGUAGUGUCUGCGUAUGAAAGAACAGAACGUACCAGUCCUCCAGUACAUUAUAAUUAUUAUGCCCCAUUUAUAAAGGUAUAGAACUUCAUUUACACAUGGCAUUCCUUAAUAGUGAAUACCCUACCCUUAAUCACAGCUUCAGACUUUGAAGCAUUCUCUUAAUAUUGCUGUAGGAAUUAAUACAGUCAGCAAAAGAGACUGCCAAACCAAUAAACUAAAUUAAAUGACCUUCUGGCAAGAGUAUGUCACAAGUAUCACAAACAGAGAAGUGAAAUGUUGGAAUGCUUCUCUUCUCACUGGGCAGUGGAGUCAAGUUUGGAGUUGCUGUUUAGAAGCUUGUCAGUUUAUCAUCCCCUUUAAGGGACUGUAACAUUGACCCCAUUGGAUGCGUGACGACGUCAUAUAAUGAAAAACAUUAUCGCCCUGAUGACGGAGGCAGUAUGACCUCUAAAACGUUGGUUAACAUCAACCAGACUACACAGUGCAACAACCCAGAAGAUAGAAAUCUCCAUACUCACCGCUGUGAAAACCUCAAAUCUUACAAACAUUCAUAUACGAAACAUGUGUACAAACCACUUUUAGUACCGUUUAGCAUCUCGUAUGAGUUGUACAUUCAAAAAUAAUUGUAAAAUUGUGAAUCUCAUUUGUUAAUAACAUUUAGGCCAUAGAAACACGAAUACAUCUGCAGAAUUUGUAACACACUGACAUCAGUCAAGCUACGGUAGGUCGAUGCACCGUUGUCAUCUCUCUGGCAAUUUCCGUAUUGCCUCACAAAACCAUUGUUUGGGGGUGUCUCAUACCCACUCCCUGACAGCAUCAUGUAAGGCGUCACUAUUGGGGAAUCGGCGACGACGCAGGGUAUCAGUUCGGACACUCUUUGAAUCAUUUGCGGAGUUCUUGAUGUUCUGGGACGACCACUGCUGGAUCCCUUUCUCACUGUUUCGUUGUCACAUGCGAAGCCUGUCACCCAACUGAACACAGUUUGCACGUGCAGUCACUGGGGUUCACCGUGCUCCCACACCCACCCUAUUCCCCCGACCUGGAACCAAGUGACUAUGCCCUAUUCCGUGAGAUGAAGAAUCCCCUGCGUGGUCACCGAUUCCCCAAUAGUGACGCCUUAGAUGAUGCUGUCAGGGAGUGGGUAUGAGACACCCCCAAACAAUGAUUUCGUGAGGAAAUACAGAAAUUGCCAGAGAGAUGACAAUAGUGCAUCAACAUCCAGGGAGAAUAUGUGGAACAGGCCGAAGUGUAACCUGGGAGCCACAACCAUCAAGGAUCACAUAAUUCAGGUUAGUCUAAAUCAUUUGUAUACGCCCCUUGUAUAUGGAGAUAUGUGGAAAGGAUCAGAAGGAAACAUGGGAGAAAUGAGGGCAGGAAAUAAAGGUGUGAAAGAGUUAAAGGAAGAAAGGUGGAGAAGAAUGAUGAUAAGGCAGACAAAUAAGAUGGAAAGGGAGACAAGUAUAUGGGAGGUAGGAGAAAUAAGCACAAAAAAAUAAAUUUUGGUAUGGACAUUGAGACACUGGUGACUACUCCAAAAUAUGCCUUUCAAUUUCCUACAAUUGAUAAUAUCAACACGGCAGACAAACAAACUUGUGAUGUGGGAUCAACACCGGUGCUACUUGCAGCAGGACUAUACAAUGACAUAAGGUCACAGAUUUUCAAAAAUACAAAGCUUUAUAAAAGUAAUCUCUUAUAUAAUGUAAAAUAACAUGAUGGUUCCAUGAAAGAAAAUAUUUCAACUUGACCAGGAUCUGAUCCUGUGACCGCACAUGUACAAGUCAUGUUUGCUGCCACAAACCUAAUGAAAUUUCUAAUGUACUGCUGUUGAUUUAAUUCCUUAAAUAAGACAGUCAGACCACUUGAUUUAUAUAGUUGGAAAAUAAAGAAGUUUAACUAAGAUAAA
Molecule: non-coding RNA, 7829 nt
Organism: Zootermopsis nevadensis
Lineage: Eukaryota; Metazoa; Arthropoda; Insecta; Blattodea; Termopsidae
Source: RefSeq, a predicted model, not a curated record